Molecule: ribosomal RNA, 468 nt
Filed under: uncultured bacterium
Lineage: Bacteria
Description: partial 16S ribosomal RNA
Rfam family: Bacterial small subunit ribosomal RNA
Source: RNAcentral
GACGAACGCUGGCGGCGUGCUUAACACAUGCAAGUCGAACGGAAAGGCCCUGCUUUUGUGGGGUGCUCGAGUGGCGAACGGGUGAGUAACACGUGAGUAACCUGCCCUUGACUUUGGGAUAACUUCAGGAAACUGGGGCUAAUACCGGAUAGGAGCUACUGCUGCAUGGUGGGGGUUGGAAAGUUUCGGCGGUUGGGGAUGGACUCGCGGCUUAUCAGCUGGUUGGUGGGGUAGUGGCUUACCAAGGCUGUGACGGGUAGCCGGCCUGAGAGGGGGACCGGCCACAUUGGGACUGAGAUACGGCCCAGACUCCUACGGGAGGCAGCAGUGGGGAAUAUUGCACAAUGGGCGGAAGCCUGAUGCAGCAACGCCGCGUGCGGGAUGACGGCCUUCGGGUGGUAAACCGCUUUCGCCUGUGACGAAGCGUGAGUGACGGUAAUGGGUAAAGAAGCACCGGCUAACUACGUG